RNAcentral lists this ribosomal RNA (550 nucleotides) under uncultured bacterium. RNAcentral describes it as "bacterial SSU rRNA". It matches the Rfam family "Bacterial small subunit ribosomal RNA", at positions 355 to 896 of the family's 1533-position model. The record is from RNAcentral.
UAGGGAAUCUUCGGCAAUGGACGGAAGUCUGACCGAGCAACGCCGCGUGAGUGAAGAAGGUUUUCGGAUCGUAAAGCUCUGUUGUAAGAGAAGAACGAGUGUGAGAGUGGAAAGUUCACACUGUGACGGUAUCUUACCAGAAAGGGACGGCUAACUACGUGCCAGCAGCCGCGGUAAUACGUAGGUCCCGAGCGUUGUCCGGAUUUAUUGGGCGUAAAGCGAGCGCAGGCGGUUGGAUAAGUCUGAAGUUAAAGGCUGUGGCUUAACCAUAGUACGCUUUGGAAACUGUUUAACUUGAGUGCAAGAGGGGAGAGUGGAAUUCCAUGUGUAGCGGUGAAAUGCGUAGAUAUAUGGAGGAACACCGGUGGCGAAAGCGGCUCUCUGGCUUGUAACUGACGCUGAGGCUCGAAAGCGUGGGGAGCAAACAGGAUUAGAUACCCUGGUAGUCCACGCCGUAACCGAUGAGUGCUAGGUGUUAGACCCUUUCCGGGGUUUAGUGCCGCAGCUAACGCAUUAAGCACUCCGCCUGGGGAGUACGACCGCAAGGUUG